Molecule: long non-coding RNA, 149 nt
Organism: Rhipicephalus sanguineus (brown dog tick)
Lineage: Eukaryota; Metazoa; Arthropoda; Arachnida; Ixodida; Ixodidae
Exons: 3
Source: RefSeq, a predicted model, not a curated record
UUGAAGAUGCUAUUUAAGCCACAGUUCAAGAUCGACCAUGAAAGGUACAUGAAACAUGGAAACUUUUUCGGCGCCUUUGAAGCGGGCAAGCCCGUUCUGUUUGUCGCGGAGCCUGAUCUUGUGAAACAAGUUCUAGUAAAGGAUUUCGC